AUUAGGUAGUUGGUAGGGUAAUGGCCUACCAAGCCGACGAUCAGUAGGGGUUCUGAGAGGAUUACCCCCCACACUGGUACUGAGACACGGACCAGACUCCUACGGGAGGCAGCAGUGAGGAAUAUUGGUCAAUGGCCGGAAGGCUGAACCAGCCAUCCCGCGUGCAGGAUGACGGCCCUAUGGGUUGUAAACUGCUUUUGUACCUGAAGAAACCUGGUUACGUGUAGCCAGUUGCCGGUAAGGUAUGAAUAAGCAUCGGCUAACUCCGUGCCAGCAGCCGCGGUAAUACGGAGGAUGCAAGCGUUAUCCGGAUUCAUUGGGUUUAAAGGGUGCGCAGGUGGGGAAAUAAGUCAGUGGUGAAAUACUGCCGCUUAACGGUAGAAUUGCCAUUGAUACUGUUUUUCUUGAGUAUGGUUGAGGUAGGUGGAAUGUGUUGUGUAGCGGUGAAAUGCAUAGAUAUGACACAGAACGCCGAUUGCGAAGGCAGCUUACUAAGCCAUUACUGACGCUGAGGCACGAAAGCGUGGGGAUCGAACAGGAUUAGAUACCCUGGUAGUCCACGCCGU
Molecule: ribosomal RNA, 566 nt
Filed under: uncultured bacterium
Lineage: Bacteria
Description: bacterial SSU rRNA
Rfam family: Bacterial small subunit ribosomal RNA
Source: RNAcentral